AAUGAUCCUCCUGCCUCAGCCUCUGGAGUGCUGGGAUUAUAGCUCUUCAUCCUGCGGUGCUGAGCAGCUUCCCGCCCCGCGCCUGGCUCACUUUUCCCGUCUUGAGACACACACCGAAAUCACUGCAGACAUUUGACUGCUUCAUGCAGCAGAGGAAGGAACACUGUGGGUCAUCCUAACAGCCAAGCCCAUAAACAAGCCCCACUGAAAAAGCAAACAAAUGGAAAAGAAGUGCCUUCGCGGAGGUACCUGCCAACAGGACUUGUGCCUUUGCCACCAGGGAUGACGCGCCUGCGAAAGCCUCCAUCCCUCAUUAAAUCAAUAAAAUCAAGUGUCUUUUA
Long non-coding RNA from Chinchilla lanigera (long-tailed chinchilla), 341 nucleotides. RefSeq lists it as uncharacterized. The record is from RefSeq and is a predicted model, not a curated record. The transcript has 2 exons. NCBI's taxonomy places the organism in Eukaryota, Metazoa, Chordata, Mammalia, Rodentia, Chinchillidae.